This 265-nucleotide ribosomal RNA is filed under the name uncultured bacterium. RNAcentral describes it as "partial small subunit ribosomal RNA". It matches the Rfam family "Bacterial small subunit ribosomal RNA", at positions 26 to 287 of the family's 1533-position model. The record is from RNAcentral.
AGAGCGAACGCUGGCGGCGUGCUUAACACAUGCAAGUCGAGUGCGCGUCCGUAGCAAUACGGAUGGCGCACGGCGCACGGGUGCGUAACACGUGGGCAAUCUGCCCUCGGAUGGGGGAUAACUCGCCGAAAGGCGAGCUAAUACCGCAUGACAUUCCCGGGACUCCGGUCCUGGGACUCAAAGGCCGCAAGGCCGUCUGAGGAGGAGCCCGCGCCCGAUUAGCUAGUUGGCAGGGUAACGGCCUACCAAGACUUUGAUCGUUAGC